AUUGAACGCUGGCGGCAGGCCUAACACAUGCAAGUCGAGCGGAUGAAGGGAGCUUGCUCCUGGAUUCAGCGGCGGACGGGUGAGUAAUGCCUAGGAAUCUGCCUGGUAGUGGGGGAUAACAUCCGGAAACGGGCGCUAAUACCGCAUACGUCCUGAGGGAGAAAGUGGGGGAUCUUCGGACCUCACGCUAUCAGAUGAGCCUAGGUCGGAUUAGCUAGUUGGUGGGGUGAAGGCCUACCAAGGCGACGAUCCGUAACUGGUCUGAGAGGAUGAUCAGUCACACUGGAACUGAGACACGGUCCAGACUCCUACGGGAGGCAGCAGUGGGGAAUAUUGGACAAUGGGCGAAAGCCUGAUCCAGCCAUGCCGCGUGUGUGAAGAAGGUCUUCGGAUUGUAAAGCACUUUAAGUUGGGAGGAAGGGCAGUAAGUUAAUACCUUGCUGUUUUGACGUUACCAACAGAAUAAGCACCGGCUAACUUCGUG
Molecule: ribosomal RNA, 484 nt
Filed under: uncultured bacterium
Lineage: Bacteria
Description: partial 16S ribosomal RNA
Rfam family: Bacterial small subunit ribosomal RNA
Source: RNAcentral